GGUCGCCUAGCUCAGCUGGUUAGAGCGUGGUGCUAAUAACGCCAAGGUCGCGGGUUCGAUCCCCGUGGUGAUCA
Molecule: non-coding RNA, 74 nt
Organism: Sclerotinia borealis F-4128
Lineage: Eukaryota; Fungi; Ascomycota; Leotiomycetes; Helotiales; Sclerotiniaceae
Source: the annotation of a GenBank genome assembly